This 291-nucleotide unclassified non-coding RNA is filed under the name uncultured Leohumicola. RNAcentral describes it as "partial contains 5.8S ribosomal RNA, internal transcribed spacer 2, and large subunit ribosomal RNA". The stretch from base 1 to 102 matches the Rfam family "5.8S ribosomal RNA", at positions 53 to 154 of the family's 154-position model. Lineage: Eukaryota; Fungi; Ascomycota; Leotiomycetes. The record is from RNAcentral.
AUGCGAUAAGUAAUGUGAAUUGCAGAAUUCAGUGAAUCAUCGAAUCUUUGAACGCACAUUGCGCCCCUUGGUAUUCCGAGGGGCAUGCCUGUUCGAGCGUCAUUAUAACCCCUCAAGCUCAGCUUGGUGUUGGGGCCUGCUGCACUGGCAGCCCUUAAAAUCAGUGGCGGCGCCAUCUGGCUCUAAGCGUAGUAAUUCUUCUCGCUAUGGAGUCCUGGUGGAUGCUUGCCAUCAACCCCCAAUUUUUCUAUGGUUGACCUCGGAUCAGGUAGGGAUACCCGCUGAACUUAA